Long non-coding RNA from Metopolophium dirhodum (rose-grain aphid), 1067 nucleotides. RefSeq lists it as uncharacterized. NCBI's taxonomy places the organism in Eukaryota, Metazoa, Arthropoda, Insecta, Hemiptera, Aphididae. The record is from RefSeq and is a predicted model, not a curated record. The transcript has 3 exons.
UUCAAAUGUAAAUAAUAAUUAUUCGUUAAUAUUUUGUUAAUUUUUAUUUAAUUUAUUAAUUAUUUAAUUUUUUUACAUUUUUUACCUUUUAUACAAUAUGUUUAUUAUUCACUAUCGUGUGCACUGUGCUGUUACAAAUUACAAAUUUAAACAGUUCACCUUAAAUUUUCGUCAAAUGUAUCUACAAAGAAUUAAAAUCAUUGCAAAUCCAAGUUAAACUUAAUAUGCCAUUUACAAGUUACAACAAUCACAUUCAAACCUUCAUAACUCAAAUCAUUAAGCAAGAUACAGUAACUGGUGUAUGCAUGUACCCAAGCCAUGUAGGAGAUUAUUCUGUUUGGAAAAACUUCUUCUGAAAAAACUGUUUCCACUAACAGUUCCACAUGGCGGUUUACGAGUAAUGACCAAAAUAGGCAUCUAGCUUCAACUUCUGUGUUCACCCUUGAAAGAACGUCAUUAAGCUAUACCACAUAGAGUUGUAAAUACCGUUUCCGGAUAUAUGCCGGUGUAUUUAUUUAUAUAUAAUAAUAUUAUGUUAUUCUGUAAUCCGUGACCUGUGCCACUGUGGUUAAGGCACAACUAAAUAAAUUGGGUGCCAUGAGUAGAGAUUUAAAUUCUGCCUUAUUAAUAUUAACACCUUAAUAAUAAUUAAUGACAUUAAAACGUUGCACCUACCUAUACUCAAGGACAAGGCCCUAAUAUUAUAUAUUAUAUAUAUAAAAAAUGAAAAAUAGAUUAUAAUAGUGUAAUAACGUAGAAUAAGAUAACAUAUAAAUAAAUAUAUAAAUACGGCUCCUGCCGAUAGUUAUAUUAAAAUAGUAAAAGUUAGAAUUGUAAAAAUUACGCUAUUACCUUCCUCCAGAUGUUCAGAGGGCUCUCGAGAUCGUAUAUUCGAGAAUUAUAUCAAAUACACCGUACAAUAUGAUUUUAUGGAAAAAAGCACAUAGAACGUAUUGACUGCAAUCAACAUAAAAUAUUAUAUCAUAUGUCUUACCUGAUUCGCAGUUGUUCGUAGACAAUAUUGUAAGAGUUUUAGGUUUUAGAUAAAAUAAAGUACUACUUCAGAU